Molecule: non-coding RNA, 190 nt
Organism: Pseudomonas sp. 21C1
Lineage: Bacteria; Pseudomonadati; Pseudomonadota; Gammaproteobacteria; Pseudomonadales; Pseudomonadaceae
Source: Rfam
GAAUUACCGUCGGUAAAGGUUAACCACCGACCCGAAGCGAGUCUUGCAUGAUGGCCGGGUAACCGACUCUGCGAAGCCAGACAGCGAACCUGUAGACCUUGUGAUUGAGCCUCGAAAUAUUCGUGCUGAUUCGCGCCACUAUCGCGAAUAAAUUCGCUCCUACACAAGCCAGAUCAGGGUUUCAACAGCC